CAAGUACUAUAUUAUUUACUACUUUUAGAUGUAUGCUAUUUAGUAGAAAUAUAAGCUAAUUGUUUACGUCCUAACACAGUAUAACUAUUUUAGGCAGUUGUUUUGGCUAACAUCCUGUUAGCCUAGCUGAUCAUUUCAGAUAGCAUGCUAACCUUUUUGGAUAACUUUUACUUACUACUAUUUUUGUUAUUUGGCAAUGUCUUAAUUUUACAACUUUUGACCAAACAUUAUUUUUUAUCUGACAAGUUUUUCCUGGUCAUCCUCUGUCUGUAAUUUACUAAGCUAGUAUAGUUUUCUCCCUAGCUAUGCUAGCUAUUUCAGUGCUAUUAUUUUGGGUUACCUCUCAGUUUGAGUAGGAUCGUCCUAUAUUACUAUGAUUUUAUUAUAACUAUGAUAUUAAGACUUGUGGACUACAUCAUUUUUUAGUUGUCAUUUACUUGUUGGUUAGUGUUUUUGCCUUUUAACAAUAUAACAUUUUGCCCUCUAAAAAAAGGGACAAAGUGUUAAAGUAUUUUAUUUCUUUGUCAACUUAUUGCAAAAAUUAAAUAAUGAAGGGAAAUACAUGGAGCAUUCAGAGCAAACACUUGGCACUAAAACAAAAUGUCAGCUGUAGCCUUCAGCAAAGAUGUCUAAAGCAAAAAAGAAAAAAAUACACAUUCACUGACUACACUAGUUACAAUACAAAGCCUUUCAUACAGACAAAGCACAAGUUGAUAAAACAAACACUGUAUGGUUUCAACAGCAAUUUUCAAGCUGUUUUUUUUUUUUUUUAAAUACACAUGUGAGAAAUCUUUUGAAACAAUAUUUGGCCAGAUAAUGUCCAUGGCUGAGGAAUAAAAAUCUAAAAAGUGCCUGUGUGAAAAUAACAAACCAAACCCACAUAUUUAGAUAUAUA
Molecule: long non-coding RNA, 895 nt
Organism: Cynoglossus semilaevis (tongue sole)
Lineage: Eukaryota; Metazoa; Chordata; Actinopteri; Pleuronectiformes; Cynoglossidae
Exons: 2
Source: RefSeq, a predicted model, not a curated record